RNAcentral lists this long non-coding RNA (1223 nucleotides) under Mus musculus (house mouse). Its description in RNAcentral is "RIKEN cDNA 1500015L24 gene". The record is from RNAcentral. Lineage: Eukaryota; Metazoa; Chordata; Mammalia; Rodentia; Muridae.
AAAACAGCACCACCUGCUAGUUGACUUCAAAACAUGAGCCUUCAAGACUCCAAAUAUUAUGAGAGACCUUUCUCAUUCAAAGCACUCUUGGAGCUUGAACUGGGCUUACUGUGGUCCUGGGCUGCAUAGGAAAGCAGGCUGAGCAAGACAUAGAGAGGAAGACAACAAGUACCACUCCAUGGCCUACUUCAGUUCCUGCUUUGAAUUACUGCCUUGACUUCUCAAGAUAAUGGACUACAAAUGGAUAUGGGAGGCUUGAGCAAAUACUAUGAAUCUCUCAAGGAGCUAUGGAUUACCUUAAAAGGCUAGACAACAGAGCCACGGCACAGGAAGUCUGCCCUGGAUGCUAUCCUGCUGGGAAUUGGCCCUCUGAAACAGAUCCAUCCACCCGAUGAGUCAUGACAUUAAAAAUGAUGAAGGAAAUGGACUGGUCCCCAGACAAACAGCUCGGGGCAAUACGAUUCCUGCAUCCAAAGGACUAUGGGUUACAGACACCUCUCUCUUCUGGGAUACAACGUGUAAAAGCCGGAUUGAGAUCUCUAUGCCUGUUCUUCAACUGCUGUGGCUACCACUAUUCCAAGAGACAGAAUAAGAAAGUUAAAGACAACAAGAAAUGGGUCUGUAAGGCCCGAAGUGAGUGGUGUGGCAAACGACUGGACUCACUCACAUGAAUAUAAGGCUAAUCCAUUCAGGAACAGACUAAGUCUCGUCCUGACCUACUUGUCGUUUUUCUGUAAAGACCACUCGAGGUUUUAUCAACUUGAUCAACAGUAAGAGAAAUGCCAAGAUUUCAGGCUGUGGACUGUGUUCCAGUGGCAAGCAGCAGAGAUCCAUGUUUAGCUUGUGUUUCCUUGUGAUUCAAGGGCCCAUGGCAUGUCUCUGGAUAAGCAGAUUGCCAUGGAUCGAGGUACUCGGCCCUGAGUGGAGAGAGUGAGGGAAUGAAGAACAGACAAACAGACAAACAGGCAGGCACAAGGAAAGCUGGGAUCAGGUAAUCUGAGCGUGGAAGGAAGGAGACGCACAGCCACGGGAGCUCAGCGUGUAUAUUAUCCAGAGGUGAAAAGGAGAUUAUUAACACGGUGGCAGAAGGAGAAGCUAUAAAUAAAACAAGCUUUAUCCAAAUUAGGAAGAGCUAACAAAGACAACUCAGAAAGUGAAAGUGAACCAAGAAGAUUGCGUUGCUCUCAAGAAACGAUGUUAAUUAAAACUUUAGAAAGCAUGAU